AUGCCUCAAGCCACAGGGACCACAACUGACAUGAGGGCUGCGUUCCUGGUGCUGCUCCUCUGGGCUGUCGCCUGCGCUUAUCCCGUGCCCGGCCACGAGUCCACCCACCCCCACCACAGUGCCCAGCAGGAGGACACAGGAAAUGAAGAUUACAUCAGCAAGCUGGGCAACCUCCUGGGUGGUGGAGAUGGCAGACUUCCUCCUGCCAGUGUGGAGAGGGGGGAAAAUGCCCUUGCCAGGGACCCAGUGGGUCGGAACGCCGUGGGCAAGGAGCUGAGUGAGCACGGUGGCCAAGACAAGGGGGGAAGAGUUGGGGAAGCUCAGCACCUGAAUUGGGUGGACCACAAGGACAAGAGUACCCAGGAUGGGAACAGCCUUGGUUUCCUGGUGAGUAAGUGGAGAGGAGUGUCUUACUUUGCCAGGGAAGUGCACUUAGCCCCAGAUCUGGUGUCAGUCAGGGUAGCACUUGGCCUGAUAGCACCUGUGAACCUGCCAUUGCAUUUGUCUCCAUUUGUCACCUCCAUAGGAGGAAGAUGCACAUGAUGCUCAUGAUGGUGACAACAGAGAGAACCAUGGCACUGGAAUCAAUGGGCUUCCCUCCCAUGCCGGCGGGCUCCUGGACGAGGAGGACGACAGUGGGGAUGACACCUUCAACGAGCACGGGGAAGAAGAGGGAGGUGAAGGUCCUACUUACGUGGCUGGUGCUGAUGGGGCAGGCGAACACAGCCAUGAUGUUGGCCGUGGGGAUGCCAGGGCUGGUGGAGGGCAUGGUGACAGCAGCAGCAGUAGCAGCAGCGAGAGCGUCGGGGCAGACCACCGCCAGUACAGGAACUACCUUGGCAGCCGGUAUGAGCAGACCUACAGGUGGGGAGGGGGUAGCAGCAGCAGCCAGGAGGAGGAGGAGAGCU
RNAcentral lists this long non-coding RNA (908 nucleotides) under Calidris pygmaea (Spoon-billed sandpiper). RNAcentral's name for it is "lncRNA (ENSCPGG00000019260.1)". Lineage: Eukaryota; Metazoa; Chordata; Aves; Charadriiformes; Scolopacidae. The record is from RNAcentral.